GACGAACGCUGGCGGCGUGCUUAACACAUGCAAGUCGAGCGGUAAGGCCCUUUCGGGGGUACGACGAGCGGCGAACGGGUGAGUAACACGUGGGUGACCUGCCCUCAGCUCUGGGAUAAGCCUGGGAAACCGGGUCUAAUACCGGAUAUGACUCCAUGACGCAUGUUGUGGGGUGGAAAGCCUUGUGCGGCUGAGGAUGGGCCCGCGGCCUAUCAGCUUGUUGGUGGGGUGAGGCCUACCAAGGCGACGACGGGUAGCCGGCCUGAGAGGGCGACCGGCCACACUGGGACUGAGACACGGCCCAGACUCCUACGGGAGGGCAGCAGUGGGGAAUCUUGCGCAAUGGGCGAAAGCCUGACGCAGCGACGCCGCGUGAGGGA
This 380-nucleotide ribosomal RNA is filed under the name uncultured bacterium. RNAcentral describes it as "bacterial SSU rRNA". It matches the Rfam family "Bacterial small subunit ribosomal RNA", at positions 28 to 408 of the family's 1533-position model. The record is from RNAcentral.